GCAUGAAGCCGGAAUCGCUAGUAAUCGCGGAUCAGCAUGCCGCGGUGAAUCCGUUCCCGGGCCUUGUACACACCGCCCGUCACACCACGAGAGUUUGUAACACCCAAAGUCGGUGCGGCAACCCUUAAGGGAGCCAGCCGCCUAAGGUGGGACGAAUGAUUGGGGUGAAGUCGUAACAAGGUAGCCGUAUCGGAAGGUGCGGCUGGAUCACCUCCUUUCUAAGGAA
This 226-nucleotide ribosomal RNA is filed under the name Tetragenococcus halophilus. Its description in RNAcentral is "partial 16S ribosomal RNA". It matches the Rfam family "Bacterial small subunit ribosomal RNA", at positions 1318 to 1533 of the family's 1533-position model. Lineage: Bacteria; Bacillati; Bacillota; Bacilli; Lactobacillales; Enterococcaceae. The record is from RNAcentral.